RNAcentral lists this ribosomal RNA (468 nucleotides) under uncultured bacterium. Its description in RNAcentral is "partial 16S ribosomal RNA". It matches the Rfam family "Bacterial small subunit ribosomal RNA", at positions 28 to 507 of the family's 1533-position model. The record is from RNAcentral.
GACGAACGCUGGCGGCGUGCUUAACACAUGCAAGUCGAACGGAAAGGCCCUGCUUUUGUGGUGUGCUCGAGUGGCGAACGGGUGAGUAACACGUGAGUAACCGGCCCUUGACUUUGGGAUAACUUCAGGAAAGUGGGGCUAAUACCGGAUAGGAGCUCCUCCUGCAUGGUGGGGGUGGGAAAGUUUCGGCGGUUGGGGCUGGAUGGGCGGCUUAUCAGCUUGUUGGUGGGGUAGUGGCUUACCAAGGGUUUGACGGGUAGCCGGCCUGAGUGGGUGACCGGCCCCAUUGGGACUGAGAUACGGAGCAGUAUGGUACAGUAGGCAACAGUGGGGAAUAUUGCACAGUGGGCGCACGCCUGAUGCAGCAACGCCGCGUGCGGGAUGACGGUCUUCGGGUUGUAAACCGCUUUCGCCUGUGACGAAGCGUGAGUGACGGUAAUGAGUAAAGAAGCACCGGCUAACUACGUG